This 469-nucleotide ribosomal RNA is filed under the name uncultured bacterium. Its description in RNAcentral is "partial 16S ribosomal RNA". It matches the Rfam family "Bacterial small subunit ribosomal RNA", at positions 28 to 508 of the family's 1533-position model. The record is from RNAcentral.
GACGAACGCUGGCGGCGUGCUUAACACAUGCAAGUCGAACGGAAAGGCCCUGCUUUUGUGGGGUGCUCGAGUGGCGAACGGGUGAGUAACACGUGAGUAACCUGCCCUUGACUUUGGGAUAACUUCAGGAAACUGGGGCUAAUACCGGAUAGGAGCUCCUGCUGCAUGGUGGGGGUUGGAAAGUUUCGGCGGUUGGGGAUGGACUCGCGGCUUAUCAGCUUGUUGGUGGGGUAGUGGCUUACCAAGGCUUUGACGGGUAGCCGGCCUGAGAGGGUGACCGGCCACAGUGGGACUGAGAUACGGCCCAGACUCCUACGGGAGGCAGCAGUGGGGAAUAUUGCACAAUGGGCGGAAGCCUGAUGCAGCAACGCCGCGGGCGGGAUGACGGCCUUCGGGUUGUAAACCGCUUUCGCCUGUGACGAAGCGUGAGUGACGGUAAUGGGUAAAGAAGCGCCGGCUAACUACGUGC